CCCCGCCGCCGCCGCCCGCCGCCGCUGCUCGCCAUCCCACCCGCCGCCGCCGCUCGCCAUCCCUCCCCGAGCGGCACUCCCAGACCCUCAACACGCCGCGCGCCGCCGCUCGCCAUCCCCCGCCACCGCCGCUCCCACACCCUAAGCACGCCGCGCUCCGCCAUCGUCGCGUCCUCUGAUCCUCGCGUCACCGCCAGUCGCCAUCCCUCGCCGCCGCCGCCGCCGCUCGGCAUCCCCCGCAUCCGCCGCUCGCUCCAUCGACGAUCUGCGCCGCCCCGACCUCUGCUCGUGUAGAGCAUGCCUAUCCCCCGGCCGAUUCGCAGCGUGGCUGGAGAAGGAAGCUCGAGGCCUCGAGCGCUGCCGCCCAUUCAUCUCCCGAGCCCAAGUGCCGCCGGCCGAUUGGAGCCUGUCCUUCGCCGAUUCGAGCCAGUCCGCGCCGAUUCGUCGUCCUCCACAGGUGGUCCUCUCCUCCCCCGCUCGAGCGCGGCUGCCGCUGUGUGAGCUACACCCCCGCUCAAGCCCAUCUCUGCCCCAAGCUUGACGCCGGUGUCGCUGCUGCCCACAGGCCCUCCGCCCCAAGGUUGUCAGGCUGGAGGUCCCGCAGGUCCACUGCGGAGCUCGCUCACGCAGGCCCGAAGUCUGGAUCUCGCACGGAUCCGGCAAGGACUGGUCCGGCAGCUCCCUGCUACGACGUUCUUAUCGGGUGGCUUUCCAUUGGAGGCAGUGGUGAGAUUGAAGCCUUAGGGGCUAGGUAAGAGGCCGAGAGCAAUGAGCUCCAAGGGUGUACAAAGGCGCGGCCAGGAUGACAAAUGCGGAAGAGAGACCUGGACCGGAGAGAUACUGCAGACUUCGGGCCCGCCGUCCCAGACCCUACUUCUUCAUCCCAGUGCUGAUUCCAUUUUGUGCUAACAUUGAUGCUUCAAGCAGUCGAUUUGCUUGUUUCGGCUGCGCAGCAACUGCUACAUGGCGCAGCCGAUGGCUUGCUCGGUGGGCAAGCUGCCUGACAGCCUUGCUGGCAGGGAUCCUUAAUGAUGCGGGCAACACAGAUCUAGCGACAGCCAGCACAUGAUUGAUGCUAGUGACGCAUCAUCUUGUGCAAGACCAAGAACAGCAACAUCGAAUCCGUACUGGACAAAGCACGAGAGUGCAGAUCAUGAGUACAUCAGCAUAGGUGUCUUUGCCAGUACAUUUGUUAUUUGCAAUGAGGAACCUAAUUUAGUGACGUGCACAUGAUUACUCUAUUAUUCAUUACUAAUUUCCCUGUGUGUGCAGAUUGGAGAGAGGGUCAAAGCAUCUUCGGCAGGCAUGACUAUGUGACUGCUCAACUAGAAGGAUCGAUCCAAAGAGCUGCGUGCUGAGACAUUGUACUACCUCACUUUUCAUAAGCAGAACAAGAUUGUCACGCUGCCUGACGAAAUACUUCAAUACCGUCGAGAUGAUCAUCACCCUUUUUUCUAUCAAUUUUUUUUGUUUCAUUACAACCUUUUCCUAUUUCAAUUUUUAUUCAUUUGUACCUCUACAGAUUUCACAUUCUAUGUCUACUUGAAUAGUCUUCUGAAAUGUUGUGUAUCUUGUCGGGGCAAUUGGCGGUUCGCAAAGCUUAUGCGAGAAUUGGCUCGUGAGAUAGGUGUGGCUGGAGUCAUUUGUUACCAUGUAGUACACUUUUGAGGAGACAUGUCUUGAUGUAGUUUUUUGUUCUGUUUUAAGCAUGUAUGCCUCUCCUACGAGGCCGCUGCACCUGGCUUUCCUAUCACUAUUGCUUUCCUCUUGCUACUGCAAUGGAAAUGUGACACCAGUAAUGUAGCACAAGGUUUCACCUUUUUUGUCGUA
Molecule: long non-coding RNA, 1830 nt
Organism: Setaria italica (foxtail millet)
Lineage: Eukaryota; Viridiplantae; Streptophyta; Magnoliopsida; Poales; Poaceae
Exons: 4
Source: RefSeq, a predicted model, not a curated record